GUUUAAAUAGCUUAUAAAGAGCGUAAUAUUGAAGAUAUUAAGGAAAUAAAUUUAUUUUUAAGCA
Molecule: transfer RNA, 64 nt
Filed under: Hemipeplus sp. HEM01
Lineage: Eukaryota; Metazoa; Arthropoda; Insecta; Coleoptera; Mycteridae
Description: tRNA-Phe
Source: RNAcentral